This 482-nucleotide ribosomal RNA is filed under the name uncultured bacterium. Its description in RNAcentral is "partial 16S ribosomal RNA". It matches the Rfam family "Bacterial small subunit ribosomal RNA", at positions 30 to 507 of the family's 1533-position model. The record is from RNAcentral.
AUUGAACGCUGGCGGCAUGCUUUACACAUGCAAGUCGAACGGCAGCGCGGGGCAACCUGGCGGCGAGUGGCGAACGGGUGCGUAAUAUAUCGGAACGUACCCAGAAGUGGGGGAUAACGUAGCGAAAGUUACGCUAAUACCGCAUACGAUCUACGGAUGAAAGUAGGGGACCGCAAGGCCUUAUGCUUUUGGAGCGGCCGAUAUCUGAUUAGCUAGUUGGUGAGGUAAAGGCUCACCGAGGCGACGAUCAGUAGCUGGUCUGAGAGGACGACCAGCCACACUGGAACUGAGACACGGUCCAGACUCCUACGGGAGGCAGCAGUGGGGAAUUUUGGACAAUGGGCGCAAGCCUGAUCCAGCAAUGCCGCGUGAGUGAAGAAGGCCUUCGGGUUGUAAAGCUCUUUUGUCAGGGAAGAAACGGUAGAGGCUAAUAUCCUUUGCUAAUGACGGUACCUGAAGAAUAAGCACCGGCUAACUACGUG